GUGCUGUUCCCUGGCAACACCAUAGACGUCACUAUGCACAACCAAAGGCUCUUUUAAGAGCCAUUCACAUUGCAAUAAGAGUAUUCUUCUAUUUACUGAGCUAUGUCAACUGCAGUUAUUCAAUUCACAGUUUCUCUCCCUUUGAUUUCUACUUCUCAGGUGAGGGUGCUGUUUAGUAAGCAGGUUCAGGUGUAUAACUGUGGCUCCUUCCACCUUCAAAGAAUAGGCAAGAGGGCCAACCAUGGAGAAUAGUUAUAUCAGCUGUGUCGACGAACCCCUCCUGCAUCUGAACUGGCUACAUAGAGGGCACAGCAAGAUCAGAGGUGAGAAGUCACCUGGUCAGGUCAACAGGAAGUAUUAUUAAAGAGAUGCUUUACAUUGAAAUACAGAUAGAGAUGCAGUAGUCCCAGAGUUAAUGAUCCCAGG
RNAcentral lists this long non-coding RNA (426 nucleotides) under Salmo salar (Atlantic salmon). RNAcentral describes it as "lncRNA (ENSSSAG00000121355.1)". The stretch from base 42 to 87 matches the Rfam family "Histone 3' UTR stem-loop". Lineage: Eukaryota; Metazoa; Chordata; Actinopteri; Salmoniformes; Salmonidae. The record is from RNAcentral.